CAUUUGCAUCAGUUUAUUUGCCAUUUAAAUUUUUUUCAUAAAUAGCAUUAUAUGAUCUUCAUAACACCUGUUACAAGAGAAAAACAUUAUUUUGCACCUCUACUAGGUCAACACGGAAACCAAAUCUCAGAAAGAGUAUUAGGUGGUAACAAUAUUUGAUGCAGGUUCACUUUUAAUUUGCUCAAGAGAUAAUAAGCAAGAGUAAUUUGGAACAUUAAGUAUGUGUGCAGUAAUCCCUCCUUAUCCAUGGAUGAUAUGUUCCAAGACCCCUGUGGAUGCCUGAAACUGCAGGACUUUAGUGAGAAGGAUAAAAAUGUGGUCUCCGGUUCAAGCAUUCAACUUCUCCACAUCUUGACAGAAUCACUUCUUAAAAAAAUGAAUGAAUGCCAAGCAAAAGAGGUGUGAGUUGGGAAAAAAUUUACCAGGUAUGAAGAAGAAAGAGCAAGGCCACUGUCACUGAAGUAUACUGAUCAAGGCAAAGAAUGGCAAGGAGAUCAAAGGAGGAGACUACUGGUCCAACUCACUUAGGACCUCUUAGAACAUGGUUCUGAUGAUGCUUAACUUUUACACAUCACUGAUGAUCUAUUUGGUGAUGGAUGCUUUCUGAUUUGAGUGAGCUGUGAAGUUCCAAACAAGCAUUUUUUAGUGUGAAUGAAGACACUUGAGGAAAAUUAUAUUUUAUUUUGAAAAAAAUCAAACAUGAGGUCGAGGCAAGAUGGAGGAAUAGCAGAGGUCCUCAACUCAUCUGGUCCCACAAACUUACCUAGAUAAUUUUAAAAACAUCUGAACACCUACGAAGUCAACCUGAGAUGUAAAGAGAGAACAGCUGGAAUGCUACAGAGAAAAAAGUUUUUGCAUCUAACAAGGUGUACAAUAUAGUGAUUCAACAAUUCUAUACAUAACACAGUGCUUAUCAAGAAGGAUUUGACCUCCAGGGCACCCACUUCAGAACACUUUCUGAAUGAGAUGGAGCAGGUUAAGAUCCUGGCAAUGUCUUGGUGACAGACAAUAUUGCAGAAGUGGAUGAAGAGAGAGGAGGAGGUCAAUAGGUUACUGGAUUUAAAAUUAUUUAAGGAUAUAGGACAAAUGCAAAGGAAGAUGUAUUUAAUUUAAAAUGAAUUUAACAUUAGCCAGGAUGCUAGAAAGACCAUCUGAACUGUAUAGAAAGUCCCAAAGUUGUUGGUCAUUUGAUAAUUAUUUGAUAAAUAUGACUGGUCUUAAGAAUAAGUAUUUUUCUGGGGGGUCAAGUAUGGGUAGAGGAUAAGUCUGAAAAACAGUGCCCCUGAUAAGAAAUAAAAAUUAAUGAAUUCACAUGAUCUGGGACUGGAGGAAUGUGGGAGUUUGAAAAUCAUCAACUGUAAAGUAAUUAUAAAGAAGGAGAACAAAAGUCAAAGUAUAGUAAUACAUGACUAGGAAGCAUUUUUGUGUGCUGCAAUUCAAGACUUAAUUGUUUGGAACAUGUUUAUCAAAGAAGCAGCUGAAUAUUGUUUAUUGUAUUGUUUUACUAUGCAUAUUCUACUUUUAGACAAAUAAAUGAAUUUCAUUC
Canis lupus familiaris (dog) is the source of this 1546-nucleotide long non-coding RNA. RefSeq lists it as uncharacterized. The transcript is spliced from 9 exons. Lineage: Eukaryota; Metazoa; Chordata; Mammalia; Carnivora; Canidae. The record is from RefSeq and is a predicted model, not a curated record.